UCCCUGGUAGUCUAGCAGUCAGGACUUGGCACUUGCAACACCAUGGCCCAGGUUCAAUCCCUGGUCUGGGAA
Molecule: transfer RNA, 72 nt
Filed under: Sus scrofa (pig)
Lineage: Eukaryota; Metazoa; Chordata; Mammalia; Artiodactyla; Suidae
Rfam family: tRNA
About the family: Transfer RNA (tRNA) molecules are approximately 80 nucleotides in length.
Source: Rfam by way of RNAcentral